RNAcentral lists this long non-coding RNA (537 nucleotides) under Neogobius melanostomus (round goby). RNAcentral describes it as "lncRNA (ENSNMLG00000005768.1)". The record is from RNAcentral. Lineage: Eukaryota; Metazoa; Chordata; Actinopteri; Gobiiformes; Gobiidae.
CGCCCGGGAGCCCCCAUGUUAAUCUAAUGGGACUGACACAUAAAUCUCACAUUAUACACAAUUACAGCGCAUAGACCUUUUUCACGACAACCGGAAGUAGCGCGUACUAGCGCCCAGUCACUUCCUGUCUUCGCGGGUCUAAGGGGAAAUAGCACCUGUUUUUUCAACAAAGUCGCUUAAUUUGCCCACUUUUCGUUCGCUGAUGUGGAGGUAAUCGCUGUCACAGUCAGGUGGGCAGGCUGUGAGAAUGGGCUCUAAUUAUAUUAAUGUUUGUACCUGGAAACAACGUAAAAGGCGCUGGUGUUGGACUGACUAAAGGGACACAGCUAGCCUGAACUGCGUCAGUGAGAUGGGCCGAUAUAAUUGCUCAGCACACCCACAGAUGUCCUCAAGUAAUGGCUCAUUCAUUGUUCUACUGGUCAAUCAGCAAAGGAAAUCGAUGCAUUUGGGGUCACUUUGAAGAGCAGAAGUGGAGAGCAACACAAUGUUAAACACUAAAUCACUUUUAAGAUGGAGUUGCAGAGCAUGAAGGCGAGG